GAGCGGCAGCACAGAGAAACUUGUUUCUCGGGUGGCGAGCGCCCUUUUGGGUGACUAACGCCUGGGAAAUUGCCCUGAUGUGGGGGAUAACCAUUGGAAACGAUGGCUAAUACCGCAUGAUGCCUACGGGCCAAAGAGGGGGACCUUCGGGCCUCUCGCGUCAGGAUAUGCCCAGGUGGGAUUAGCUAGUUGGUGAGGUGAGGGCUCACCAAGGCGACGAUCCCUAGCUGGUCUGAGAGGAUGAUCAGCCACACUGGAACUGAGACACGGUCCAGACUCCUACGGGAGGCAGCAGUGGGGAAUAUUGCACAAUGGGCGCAAGCCUGAUGCAGCCAUGCCGCGUGUGUGAAGAAGGCCUUCGGGUUGUAAAGCACUUUCAGUAGGGAGGAAGGUGGUAGUGUUAAUAGCGCUAUCAUUUGACGUUACCUACAGAAGAAGCACCGGCUAACUCCGUGCCAGCAGCCGCGGUAAUACGGAGGGUGCGAGCGUUAAUCGGAAUUACUGGGCGUAAAGCGCAUGCAGGUGGUUUGUUAAGUCAGAUGUGAAAGCCCCGGGCUCAACCUGGGAAUUGCAUUUGAAACUGGCAAACUAGAGUACUGUAGAGGGGGGUAGAAUUUCAGGUGUAGCGGUGAAAUGCGUAGAGAUCUGAAGGAAUACCGGUGGCGAAGGCGGCCCCCUGGACAGAUACUGACACUCAGAUGCGAAAGCGUGGGGAG
This 716-nucleotide ribosomal RNA is filed under the name uncultured bacterium. Its description in RNAcentral is "bacterial SSU rRNA". It matches the Rfam family "Bacterial small subunit ribosomal RNA", at positions 64 to 768 of the family's 1533-position model. The record is from RNAcentral.